Molecule: long non-coding RNA, 2459 nt
Organism: Chrysemys picta bellii (western painted turtle)
Lineage: Eukaryota; Metazoa; Chordata; Testudines; Emydidae
Source: Ensembl
CUGUUUGGUACUGGUCAGACUACCAAGGGUGGAUGCCUAAUUCCCCUCACCAAAAAAGAUGUUGAAAUGUUUCUGUUACUAGGAGUCCCAGCUGUGCUCUAAUUUUUUACUGUACAGAAAGAGCAGGGGUCAGAUGGCCUUGAUUGGCAUUGAUGUUUCUGUGAUUUCUACAUUGUGAAUUGAGGCUUGGGAGGUGAGUGUACGUCCUACUGUCCCUUGUCACUCUUAGUGGCUUCUGAAGUCAUUCUGGAUAUGGGUGAUCUUUUCUGAGAAAUACAAUAAUUCUUUGCGGGACGAGGUAUUGGCUGGGGCUGAGUGGAGGUAGUUUGGGUUCAAAAUAGUGUUUCAUGAGCUAGCUUGUCAGCCCAUCUCAAACUGACUUAAAAUGAACAUGGGCACAUUGUUUGACUGUCUCAGCAGAGGUCAAGGAUAGAAUACACAUUGAGACUUAACCUUCAAAUUACCUCUCACGUUCUGGGUCAGAGAUGAGGCACAUUGGUGGGAUAGUUUUGGGAAACUUGCAUUGAUGUGCCCCAUGAUGUACUAUAUAUUUUCUGUGGGUAAACAGAAGACUUGAACUGCCAGGGCUCCAAAGGCGUCAAUGUUCACAAGAUUGAUCUAUCUGCAAAGUAAAUAAAAGUUUCAUCUGACUGUUUCAGUAUGGAUCAGAUCAGAGUGCCUGGUGAUGAUGUCAGCAGCAGCCUUUCUGAUGCACUCAGCCAAAGCAAUCAGAAAACCAUCACAAAGGAGCAAGUGGAUCUUGUGGCUGGCCUGAAAAGAGAACCUAAAACAAGCACUGUUAAAUUAAUUGACCUUUGGAAGAUUAUCAAGAAAAACCUUCUAAAUUUUUAUUGGCUGGAGGACUUGCGCUUGUCUCUUUGCGGGGGAAGGAGUGUAUUCUGAUAUACAGAUCUACUGCAAGAGAAUGGCUGUAAACCCUUUCAUAACAGUUCUGAUAUUGUGGAUUGUUCUAAUCUGUUGAAGCUCUCUGUUUGGCAAGUAAAUCAUCCUCUUCCUGUGUCUAGGUAGUUAUUUUAGAAAGUCUUUUUACCAUAACUGGGAAAUUGAUAUUUAUUUCUUGGUAGCAUGACUCUGAUUCUCUGCUAUCUUGUACCUUGUCUCUUCUUUUCCACCUGUGAAAAGUAAGUUCAAAGUGUGUGUAAAAUCUUGCCAUUUUGAUUUCAUAGGAUUUGACUGCCAUAUUGUACACACUUUGCUGAGGUGACUGCACAAAAUGCCAGACACAAAAGAAUCUGGAUCCAUAUAUUUCUUCGUUUUAUAUGGAAAAAUAUGUAGGAGCAGGAUUUUAUAAUUGUACUAUGAGAAUUAAUGUAUGAUUUAAUUUCAUCCUGCCAGCCACCCUUUUUGAAUAGCAGAAAGGAAUGACAGACCAGAACAAUCCUUAUGACUGAUUAUGGUCACCCUUUUGUUUUAGGAUAAGUUAUAAUGUAUACUAUGGUUUCCUAAAUGUAUUACAAAUUAGGAACUCUAGUUAAAUAUACAUUUCUUUGUUUUAAGGUUUAGUAAGUAAGAGACAGGAUCUUGUAUUGUAUCUAUGUUAAGGAAAUUAGAGGAAUGUUGAGGACCUGAAGCCCCAAUGUGAAUUGUUUUCGUUAUAAGAUUUAGCAAGGCUUGAUUUACAAUGCAUUCUGCUGAAUAUAAAAUACUGCUGUCUGUAUACCUUUGAAGGUUUCUGUAAGAGAUUGUUUGUGUGAAUGAGGAAUGCAUGCAUCAGGAAAAGAUAAGGUGUGAAAGCCAUCACAAAUGUCCAGAUGGUCAAGAAAAAGUAAGAGACUUGGAAAGACCAGGAGACAAUCAGAAAACAUAAUUGUAUCAAAUGCUAAACAUGUUAGCAGCAUUGAUGACCUCAGAGGUGAGGCAGGCACCCCUGAAGGCAAGACAACAAAUAGGAGAUAACGAUGGGAAGCCCAACAAUAACCAUCAAAUGAUAACAGCAGAAAACCCCAAGAUUAACACCACAUAAGGACUAAUGAUUACAGGAUGACAUUGCAAAAUGCAUGGACUCAAGUGGGGAUUUAAAACUAUAAAGCUGGGGUGUUUUGCCAUGGAACUCUGGGUUCAGUCUUGCAAAGCCUCGGAGCAUCAGAUCACGACUGACAGAGCCCAGCUCCUCACUCGUGCUCAAUCUAACUGGCCAUUAGAUUGACUCAAGCUACAACAGACUGGUAACAUCAACUGGCAGGACUCUGUGUGUGUGUGUGUGUGUGUGUGUGUGUGUGUGUGUGUGUGUGUGUGUGUGUGUGUGUGUGUGUGUGUAGACGUAAGAAACGUNNNNNNNNNNNNNNNNNNNNNNNNGUGUGUGUGUGUGUGUGUGUGUGUGUGUGUGUGUGUGUGUGUGUGUGUGUGUGUGUGUGUGUGUGUGUGUGUGUGACUGAAAAGCAUAUGCUAACUGUUGUAUUUUCAAUAAAUGCGGUGUAUUUGCCUUCUCCUCUAUAAAA